Molecule: ribosomal RNA, 1396 nt
Filed under: uncultured bacterium
Lineage: Bacteria
Description: partial 16S ribosomal RNA
Rfam family: Bacterial small subunit ribosomal RNA
Source: RNAcentral
AGAGUUUGAUCCUGGCUCAGGAUGAACGCUAGCUACGGGCUUAACACAUGCAAGUCGAGGGGCAGCAUGGUCUUAGCUUGCUAAGGCCGAUGGCGACCGGCGCACGGGUGAGUAACACGUAUCCAACCUGCCGUCUACUCUUGGACAGCCUUCUGAAAGGAAGAUUAAUACAAGAUGGCAUCAUGAGUUCACAUGUUCACAUGAUUAAAGGUAUUCCGGUAGACGAUGGGGAUGCGUUCCAUUAGAUAGUAGGCGGGGUAACGGCCCACCUAGUCUUCGAUGGAUAGGGGUUCUGAGAGGAAGGCCCCCCACAUUGGAACUGAGACACGGUCCAAACUCCUACGGGAGGCAGCAGUGAGGAAUAUUGGUCAAUGGGCGCAGGCCUGAACCAGCCAAGUAGCGUGAAGGAUGACUGCCCUAUGGGUUGUAAACUUCUUUUAUAAAGGAAUAAAGUCGGGUAUGUAUACCCGUUUGCAUGUACUUUAUGAAUAAGGAUCGGCUAACUCCGUGCCAGCAGCCGCGGUAAUACGGAGGAUCCGAGCGUUAUCCGGAUUUAUUGGGUUUAAAGGGAGCGUAGAUGGAUGUUUAAGUCAGUUGUGAAAGUUUGCGGCUCAACCGUAAAAUUGCAGUUGAUACUGGAUAUCUUGAGUGCAGUUGAGGCAGGCGGAAUUCGUGGUGUAGCGGUGAAAUGCUUAGAUAUCACGAAGAACUCCGAUUGCGAAGGCAGCCUGCUAAGCUGCAACUGACAUUGAGGCUCGAAAGUGUGGGUAGCAAACAGGAUUAGAUACCCUGGUAGUCCACACCGUAAACGAUGAUUACUAGGUGUUGGAGGAUUGACCCCUUCAGUGCCGCAGUUAACACAAUAAGUAAUCCACCUGGGGAGUACGACCGCAAGGUUGAAACUCAAAGGAAUUGACGGGGGCCCGCACAAGCAGUGGAGUAUGUGGUUUAAUUCGACGCAACGCGAAGAACCUUACCAAGUCUUGACAUCCCUUGACAGGCAUAGAAAUAUGUUUUCUCUUCGGAGCAAGGAGACAGGUGGUGCAUGGUUGUCGUCAGCUCGUGUCGUGAGAUGUUGGGUUAAGUCCCGCAACGAGCGCAACCCUUAUGGUCAGUUACUACGCAAGAGGACUCUGGCCAGACUGCCGUUGACAAAACGGAGGAAGGUGGGGAUGACGUCAAAUCAUCAUGCCCUUUAUGACUUGGGCUACACACGUACUACAAUGGCGUUAAACAAAGAGAAGCAAGACCGCGAGGUGGAGCAAAACUCAGAAACAACGUCCCAGUUCGGACUGCAGGCUGCAACUCGCCUGCACGAAGUCGGAAUUGCUAGUAAUCGUGGAUCAGCAUGCCACGGUGAAUACGUUCCCGGGCCUUGCACUCACCGCCCGUCAAG